CAAGAUCUUGGAGUGUUCAUAAAUUGACUUUGACUCCUCCAGUUUACGAUUUUACAGCAUCCAAGAAAGAUAAAAUGUUUUCUGCUGCAGCUAAGGAGAAUAAUAUUGCUACAGUCUAUUUACUUGUAUUGCAAGGGGCACUGACCUUCAAGAUGAGGGAGGAGACAAUAGAGCAGAGUUUUUGAGACCAUACUGGUUAUGGGCAUGAGCUGAACAUGGAUCAAUGACAAGGCCAAAUGAGCUGUGGCAUGUGGGCAGUGAAAUGGUACCAGAAGGUUUGGAUUCAAGUCCCACCUGCAUUUCCUAGCAUUGAGACCACUCCUGAGAAGACUGAUCUGAAAAAUAUUGAAGGUAAUGAUCUUAUAAGAGUGGCAGAGGAAGCAAGAAACACAAAAGCAGCAGCUCUGGGACUCCCUCUUCUCUAGACAAUUAGCUUCUUGCUAGGUGGCUUAUAUCUAUGUUUCUAUAUCCGACUUUGAUGAUAAGCCCCUACAGAUUUCUUUCAGUCUGUUCUUCAC
Molecule: long non-coding RNA, 518 nt
Organism: Canis lupus familiaris (dog)
Lineage: Eukaryota; Metazoa; Chordata; Mammalia; Carnivora; Canidae
Exons: 4
Source: RefSeq, a predicted model, not a curated record